Nerophis lumbriciformis (worm pipefish) is the source of this 603-nucleotide long non-coding RNA. RefSeq lists it as uncharacterized. The record is from RefSeq and is a predicted model, not a curated record. NCBI's taxonomy places the organism in Eukaryota, Metazoa, Chordata, Actinopteri, Syngnathiformes, Syngnathidae.
CAAGGAGGACCGGGUGAACGCGCGCAGGUUGAGAAGGAAUCCCCAGGACUACCCAGCAGACCCGCAGGCUACCGAAAAGAACCCCCAGAAUCCCACAAUACGCAGGGGCAGAGGAAACUCUGCCUCCAAAGUCGGGGUUGCGGGGGCAGCAGCCUAAGCAGAGAAGCCCAGACUUCCCUCUCCCCAGCCACUUCGUCCAGCUCUUCUCGGGGGAUCCCGAAGCGUUCCCAGGCCAGCCGGCUGACAUAGUCUUCCCAAUGUGUCCUGGGGCUUCCCCGUGGCCAACUGCCGGUCGGACUUGCCCUAACGAAAAAAGCAAUUAAAAUGUCCGGUUGCGGGGGCAGCAGCCUAAGCAGAGAAGCCCAGACUUCCCUGUCCCAAGCCACUUCGUCCAGCUCUUCUCGGGGGAUCCUGAGGCGUUCCCAGACCAGCCGGCUUACAUAGUCUUCCCAAUGUGUCCUCUGUCUUCCCCGUGGCCUCCGCCGGUCGGACUUGCCCUAACGAAAAAAGCAAUAAAAAUGGAUUCAAACACAACUCCUAAACCAAAUAUGUAUGUCUAAAAUGCCUGUAAUUUUGAAUCAAUGUGAGUUUUACUAGAAUCAG